Molecule: transfer RNA, 68 nt
Filed under: Candidatus Azambacteria bacterium
Lineage: Bacteria; Candidatus Azamiibacteriota
Description: tRNA-Lys
Rfam family: tRNA
About the family: Transfer RNA (tRNA) molecules are approximately 80 nucleotides in length. Their secondary structure includes four short double-helical elements and three loops (D, anti-codon, and T loops).
Source: RNAcentral
GCCGAUGUAGCUCAGUGGUAGAGCAACUGUUUUGNNGUAGGUCGUCGGUUCGAAUCCGACCAUCGGCU